GUCUACGGCCAUACCACCCCGAAAGCGCCCAAUCUGGCCUGAUCUCGGAAGCUAAGCAGGGUUGGGUCCGGUUAGUACUUGGAUGGGAGAAACACUGGAGAGUAGUUUAUU
Cricetulus griseus (Chinese hamster) is the source of this 111-nucleotide ribosomal RNA. The record is from Ensembl. Lineage: Eukaryota; Metazoa; Chordata; Mammalia; Rodentia; Cricetidae.